GGGCCCCAAGACUAAAUGGCGAAUUGGUGAGUAACGCGUUGGUGAUCUGCCUCGAAGUGUGGAAUAACGUUCCGAAAGGAACGCUAAUACCGCAUGUGCUCUCGAUUUUUAGAAAGUUGAGAGUAAAGGAUUUAUUCGCUUCGAGAGGAGCCUGCGUCCCAUCAGCUGGUUGGUAGGGUAACGGCCUACCAAGGCUAUGACGGGUAGGGGACCUGAGAGGGUGGCCCCCCACAAUGGAACUGAAACACGGUCCAUACACCUACGGGUGGCAGCAGUAGGGAAUAUUAGAAAUGGACGAAAGUCUGAUCUAGCAACACCGCGUGUGCGAAGAAGCCUUCGGGUCGUAAAGCACUUU
RNAcentral lists this ribosomal RNA (355 nucleotides) under uncultured bacterium. Its description in RNAcentral is "bacterial SSU rRNA". It matches the Rfam family "Bacterial small subunit ribosomal RNA", at positions 76 to 436 of the family's 1533-position model. The record is from RNAcentral.